Long non-coding RNA from Octopus bimaculoides (California two-spot octopus), 2116 nucleotides. RefSeq lists it as uncharacterized. The record is from RefSeq and is a predicted model, not a curated record. Lineage: Eukaryota; Metazoa; Mollusca; Cephalopoda; Octopoda; Octopodidae.
UAUUCUCGGAAAUAACAAACCCAGCUCUGAACGAUACUUGCAUUGUUCAUAUCUAUUUUACAUUUGUAUCACAGGUGGGAGACUUCAUCUUCCACCCGGUUUAACACCAUCACCAGGCUCCAUGGAUUCACUUAUCAGAGUCCACUCCGGUUUGAAGAUAGCUUCCUCCCUCCUGCUCACAAAUCUCAAUGGCCCUGCAAAGGCUCAUGGGAAUUUCUUUCCCUCCUGACUGAAAGAUUAAGAAAGAAACCCAUCAAGUUCCCUAUAAAUACCUUUUUUUUUUUUACUUCCAAAUAUUGUUUUAGCUUUCAAUGCAAAUCUUAAAUGCUUCUUUCUUGUGUGAAUACGUUUAUAUAAAUAAAUACUCGAAGUAAAUAUUCGACAAUAAAACCAAUGAGAGAUUGUCACAUGUCGAAGUAAAUGUUCCACGGUCGGUGUUUCCCUCAACUGCAUAAUCACAUACAAAAUUUCCUCACUGACUACACUCUAUUAUCAUAUAGUUACAUACUCUUCAAAUGGAAGUCAUUUAAUCCGCUUACCUAUGAACUACUAUAUUUCAUUCAAUUUGCCAUAAAGGCAGUACACAGAGGAGUAGCUGAGGGCUGGACAAAGACAUUAAUGACAUGAGAUGAAUGAUGAACGUGAUGAUAUUAAUGGGAGAAGACAGAAGCCGCCCGCCGAACUUUGCAUCUCUAAAACAGUGUUCUUUUAUAAAUUUAUACAUAAAUUAACAAAUAUGAGGCUAUUAACCUCUUACUUUACAAUUUCAAUUUAUCAUGUCUUUCAAAUGAGGCACUUGCCUCUUACACUUUUCUUUUCAUGGGCCACACGCCCUUUCAAUAUGAGGCACUCGUCCUCUUACAUUUUACCGCCCGAAUAGACUCCGUGCUUCACUUAAGCACCUCGCUGGUUCUUCAUCGGGCCACUUCAGUAAGUAGCGGAAUUGCGUCUUUGGUGAAUGAAUUCAUUACCUAGGAACUUCUAAUGAACCUGAUCAUUAAGCGAGCCCUGGCUUGGGCUAAUAUCCCUUUAGUUCUGAAGCCGGCGGGAUUAUCCAGAAAUGAUGGUCUUACACUUUUCCCUGGGUAAGAGUUCAAUAGAAAACAAGAGCACUCAGAGAGUGCAAACCUCUGACAAAGCAACACCAACGUCCUCUCAACGAUUAGCUGGAGAUGAUUUUUAAAAUGAGAAUAUCUGAAAUAAACUCGACUGCUCUCACAAACGAGAAUACUAAAAAUGAACCCGACCGCUCUCAAAAAUUAAGUAAAAAAAAAAAACGAUCGAUCCCAAGAUCUAAUCAGUUCGUGCCAGUCAUGAGGCCAAACAUCCCUGAAAGUUUCAUUCAAAUCCAUUCAGCGGUUCUUGGAGAUAUCUUAUCCACGGACAAAUAAACAAACAAAUACGACUGAAAACAAUACCUCCGCCUUCGCUAAGGUGAAGGUAAUAAUCGGUUUAUGACGAUUUGAAUAUUUUCAAGAUGUUUUGUUCGUUAACCAAUUGUCUAUUUGGAAUGCAACAGAAAAUUCCAGUUUGCAUUAAACUUUUCUUGUAAUGAAUUUGCUAUUUGUUUCAAAGCUGUCAUGGGUUCGAACUGAACAGCAAUUCUUUUCUUGGUUCAAUCAUUGGACUGUAGCCAUACUGGAGCAUCACCUUGAACGGUUUAACGGUGGCUGGCAAUUUUUCUAUCGAAACCUUUUACCGAACAGCUAAGUUACGGAGUCGUAAACAAACCAACGCCAUGAGGAGUCAAAGAAUUGCGAACGCGCUCAUAUAAAUAUGCAUAUAUGCACACACACGACAAGAUUUCACGCAGUUUCCAUCUACCAGAUUCACUCACAAGACAUUGGACGGCCUGGUCCAAACCACGUAGACGUGAAGCGACCUUCUUAACCAUCCAGCCAAACCUGCACCUAAAAACCCUGAAGUAAUUUGAGCAUUCAGCCUUUUGAUAAAGAGUCAGAAGCACUACUGUUGCUUCACAUUGCUCAGUCCGAAAUUCACCAACGCACCAGUUUGGAAUACAUUCAGCAGAAGAUACCUUUAUGUAACGUUAAACCUAUUCCAUAUUUUUUUAAUAUAAUACCUUUCCUAACAAAAUAAAUAUUAUUACAAGAUA